Sturnus vulgaris (Common starling) is the source of this 472-nucleotide non-coding RNA. The record is from RefSeq and is a predicted model, not a curated record. Lineage: Eukaryota; Metazoa; Chordata; Aves; Passeriformes; Sturnidae.
UAUUUGGGUCAGACACUUGGUGAUUAUUAACAUGAUAAAGAUCAUAUCUUGACUGGAGCCCUGAGACACCACUGGAGGGUUCAUUUUUAGCUGGUGCUCUGGGAAAUAGAGAGUUGGGCAGAGUUCCCAUCCUGUGGAGCUUGCAGUUGGAAAAAUCCUCUACACACCAAGAAGGCUGGCAGAGUAGCAGUUGAUCCUCAGUGGGAGCCCAGAGGGGGAAGGAAACAACUAGAAAGCCAUUCCAGAAGUGUCUGUGUGGUAUUUAGGGAGCUGGGAACCAGCUGCAGCAUGCACAGAUUUCCAGAGGUUUCUGUUGAGUGAGGAGAGGGCUCAGGUUGCCCAGAGUCUCAGUCUGAGUAAGAACUGCAGAAGAUGUGCUGAAUUCAAGAACUGCAGGCAUGUGUUCAACUAAACCCAGGUUUCUGUAUCUGUUUUUAGGGUGCUUGAUCGAAGUGGGGCCUUGAGAACAGCC